Molecule: non-coding RNA, 3090 nt
Organism: Nothobranchius furzeri (turquoise killifish)
Lineage: Eukaryota; Metazoa; Chordata; Actinopteri; Cyprinodontiformes; Nothobranchiidae
Source: RefSeq, a predicted model, not a curated record
CAGGUUUCCGCCAAAACCCGUGCAAGCGUAGCCAAAACCCGUGCACGCGUAUUGUGCACAUCGCGCGUGCGAACGGGACUCGCGCGUGGAGGUUAGAACCUCAUGAGUGAAAAUAUACAUGGCGAGGAGGUCAUUUGUACACUGAGAGGGAGCAAACUGUGUCUGUGAGCGCACAAGGAUGUGCACAAGUGACAAACCUGCGUGCGCUCGUUGGCCAACGAGCACACGGCAGAGGAAAACAUGCGUGCGGCAGCCUCACUGCGCGCUCGGUGCGGCAGCCUCACUGCACGUGUGGCAGCCUUUCUGCGCGCUCGGUUUCUGAUUCUGCUCGCUCAGCUGUUGGGAGUUUUGGCACUCUGGAGGCGUGGAAGAAUUAAAGUGCCAGAAACUGAGCAGUUGAACUUUCAAUUUGAGAGCAGAAUUUCAUAUCAAGAGACCAUCUUUUUAAUUUCAGAAUACUAUUUUAUAUUAUUGCUCUCAAAACUUGUAAUGCUUGCGCUCAAAAUGUCUGCUCUCUUUCAAAUUCACUCUGUUCUCCUUCAAAUCUUUGUUUUUGCGCUCAGAUUUAACCUUCUUACACUGGUAUUGUCUUCUCAUGUGACAACUUUUUCUCUGCACGGAUCAAAACUCCUCCCACAAGUCUGUCCCCUGCUCUCACGGAUCUUGUCUGCUCUCGCUCAAAACUUAGAAGUACAAUCUCCUAGCAACCGCUCAGCCAAUAGAAAGACUUGUGGGACUGGGCGGGAACAAACCUCUUUGGGGUGCGCUCGUUUUGCGCUCUGUGGAUUUUCCUGUGUGGCUGCCACAUCUGCGCACUAACAGCCUGGCUAAUACCCGCUCUGAUCUGGAGCGAGAGUUUCACCUGCACCAGCAAAAUGGACCAGAACCAACAAGACGCUCAAGUAAGUUAUUUUUCAAGGCUACUAGCUGCAGUUUAUUCCAUAAAAUUGUUUUGUUAUGCUACUUUUUACGACUCCUCGCAUUUAAUAUUGCAACAGGGGCACAUAGCUAGGUGGAUUAGGGUCCUACAUGGAAUAAAAUGUCCGGUGUUUUAUCCAGGAACUGGGGAUCGAGUUAUGAGGGGCUAGAUAUGUGUCAGGGAAAGAUCCAAAAAUGUUUUCUAGUGCCGUAUUCCCCAGAGUUGGAUAAGUGAAUGAAAAAGGAUUGUUUUAACCAGCGCAGUAAUUCUUAUCUGCCAGCAGUCUGUCUACUUUAGAUGAGAAUAAACCAUGUAACUUAAUGGGAGGUAGUAGCAUUUUGUGUGCAAAACUGUAAAAUUACUAAAUUAUGAUACCAGUUAUUCCUGUUGAGCUCAAUAAUCAUGUUGACUGCAAAUGAAAAGUAAGAAGUAACACAUUUGCAGGAGCCAAUUUAGACAGUAGACAAAUUUUCACAUAGGGUGGAAUAUCCCUUUAAAUCAAACUUCAAACAUGCACGUUAGCAAUAUACAGAAUAUUUUAAUUACAUUUCAUGUUAAUCAUUAUUGUUUACUUAACAAUGAUUGUUGGUCACUGAUUUAAAAAAAUGUCUUUAAUAGGUUUCCUGUCCAUUGUGUGAUAAGAAUUUACUCAGGAGUCUAUACAACUGCAUGCCAGCUUUUGUGGUGAAGGAGGAAGAGGACAGCAUCAUACUGGAUGUGGAUGACUCUUCCAAGCACUUAAUCUGCUUAUCAGACAUCCUGAAGUUCCUACAAGAAAGAGUUGACAACACUAAAACCUUUAACAUAAUGUGACAAGGGACGACCUUUACCAGAGAGGUCUGAAACAGCGGGCCAGACAGAAGCAGGCUUCCCCCAAAAACCAGCUAAUUGUUUCCUUUAUUGGAGAACACGACAUUGAUGAAGGAGCACUACGCCGAGAGUUCCUAACUGAAAUGAUGCGAGGCCUUGAGUUGAACUUAUUUGAAGGAGUUUCAUGCAAAGGCAAAACCCCAAAUAUAGUAUCUCUUACUACCAGGAAAACAGAUACAGGUAUGUACAGUAUGAUGCUGCUCUGCAGUGUAACUUGGCUUGUUUUGUGUUCAGGAUCUGUGGGGAGAUCAUUGCCACCAGCUUGGUUCAAGCAGGACCAGCACCGAAUUUCUUUUCUACUUGGUCUUACCAUUUCUUGCGUCAUGGACAAAUAACAAAUGAAGAUGUGCCAGAGGUGACUGAUACGGCAAUCCAGAACCUGAUUCAGGAGGUAAAUUAAACAGAAUAAUUUAUUUUCUGUAAAUUGUACUAACAAGUGUUUCUGAUUGAAGGUCGAACGUGCCGAAGAAGACGCACUGACAGACCUUUCUGAUGCCAUUGUAGCAUGUGGCUACACUGGUCAAUUCACAGCAAUUGCAAAAGGGCCAUCAUUGAGGCCAUCAGUUUGCAUUCGGUGAUGAGACUCAUACCGAUGCUAAGUCAGCUUAGAGAAGGACUGGCCAUCUAGGGUUUGGAUGAGCUGUUGCCACAACACCACCAGGCACUUCAGCCCCUCUUUCUUCCUGGGAACCUUAAACAGUAUUUUUAAAAACGUCUUUUGUAGGUGGAUGCAGACUUCGUUGUGGAGGCACUGGCUGCUCAGUACAGUGACAAUGGAUCAGUAAGACACAAAGGAAGUGGACAUGAUCAACUUUUUGCAGGACCUCUUGCAAAACCUGGAAGAAGGAGGAACAGAUGACCAAGAUGGGAGCCCAUCAGAUGGCUGUGGAGCAAAGCAGUUGUCAGUGCAAGGAUUUUUUUCAGUGGGUUUCAGGCCAGGCACAUGUGCCACUAACAGACACAGAAAGAGAAUUUUACAAGAUAACUAAAUGUUGAUCACGACAGUACCACCCGGUAUGGACCACACUUAAUCACCUUACCUACAUGGCACGUUACUACAUACACUGACUUUGAAAGUCAGCUUACUCAGGCAGUCUGUGAUAGAUUUGAUUUUAGCAGACAUUAAGUGAAAACAAGAUGGCCACUGUUCUGGGUUCAGGUUACUGUAUAAUGGUUCAAAUUUAACUUUGAAUCCAAAAAGACAAAUGGUUUUGUUAAAUAAUGUAAUGUUUUGGAGCUAGAAAGCGACAUUGUUACAUGAAUCCAUAAAGUUAGGCUUAUUGCCAUUUCAAAUACAUGUU